GACAGAGGGUGCAAACGUUGUUCGGAAUUACUGGGCGUAAAGCGCGUGUAGGCGGUUCGGAAAGUCGGAUGUGAAAGCCCUGGGCUCAACCCAGGAAGUGCACUCGAAACUCCCGAACUAGAGUCCUGGAGAGGAAGGCGGAAUUCUCGGUGUAGAGGUGAAAUUCGUAGAUAUCGAGAGGAACAUCGGUGGCGAAGGCGGCCUUCUGGACAGCGACUGACGCUGAGACGCGAAAGCGUGGGGAGCGAACAGG
Molecule: ribosomal RNA, 253 nt
Filed under: uncultured bacterium
Lineage: Bacteria
Description: partial 16S ribosomal RNA
Rfam family: Bacterial small subunit ribosomal RNA
Source: RNAcentral